AACAAACGGGAAUUUCCCAUAUCCAUUUUUUACUGACAAUUUCCACCUCAAAUAUAUUAAAUAGUACAUAGCUUUCGGUCCAUUCAAUCAUUUUAUAAUAGACAAUCAAUGUAGAGAAUACGGCACCAAAAAUGUCCAGCCCCUACACUUUAAUUAAAAUGCAUUUUACACUUAUUCUAUGUUUUUUAGCAAAAAAAAAGGUCCCAAAACAUUUUUCUUAUUUCUUCGUCCCCCUUUCCAAAUUCCUGGAUCCGCCCCC
This 259-nucleotide long non-coding RNA is filed under the name Mytilus galloprovincialis (Mediterranean mussel). Lineage: Eukaryota; Metazoa; Mollusca; Bivalvia; Mytilida; Mytilidae. The record is from RNAcentral.